AUGAAGGCGGCCCACGACGGCAACCUCGGCCGCCUCAAAGAUAUUGUAAAGAGACUUACCAAAAGAAAUGGCGACCUGUCAGCGCUUUUUUCUAUCAACACGAACGGAUGUAAUCUGUUGCAUCUCGCGGCAUGCGCAGGCCAUUUAGAGGUUUGCAGGUACCUAGUGGAGGAGCUUGGAGGAGAUGUAAAUGCUCCUGGGGUUGGGGAUACAGCUCUAGGUGCGACUCCAUUUAUGGUGUCUACUCAGUCUGCUGAUGUUGCUACUGUCAAGUAUUUUCUUGAUCAUGGUGGUGAUCUUGUGAAAGCAGAUGACAAAGGGCGCACAGUUCUCCACCAUGCUGUGGGUAUAGGAUGCUGCAAGGUUACAGAGUUCCUCCUGUCAAAAGGAGUGCCUAUUGACAUAGACUGUGGCCGUGGAACACCACUCUUUUGGGCUGCUAAUAAUGAGCAGAAUAAGACAGUGAAGAUUUUGCUAGAGCACCAUGCAAAUGUAUAUGGCCUCUGA
Molecule: ribosomal RNA, 507 nt
Filed under: Triticum aestivum (bread wheat)
Lineage: Eukaryota; Viridiplantae; Streptophyta; Magnoliopsida; Poales; Poaceae
Description: partial small subunit ribosomal RNA
Source: RNAcentral